GAUGAACGCUGACAGAAUGCUUAACACAUGCAAGUCAACUUGAAUUUGGGUUUUUAACUUAGGUUUGGGUGGCGGACGGGUGAGUAACGCGUAAAGAACUUGCCUCACAGCUAGGGACAACAUUUGGAAACGAAUGCUAAUACCUAAUAUUAUGAUAAUAGGGCAUCCUAUAAUUAUGAAAGCUAUAAGCGCUGGGAGAGAGCUUUGCGUCCCAUUAGCUAGUUGGAGAGGUAACGGCUCACCAAGGCGAUGAUGGGUAGCCGGCCUGAGAGGGUGAUCGGCCACUAGGGGAGUGAGACACGGCACUUACUCCUGCGGGAGGCAGCAGUGGGGAAUAUUGGACAAUGGACCAAGAGUCUGAUCCAGCAAUUCUGUGUGCACGAUGAAGUUUUUCGGAAUGUAAAGUGCUUUCAGUUGGGAAGAAAGAAAUGACGGUACCAACAGAAGAAGUGACGGCUAAAUACGU
This 466-nucleotide ribosomal RNA is filed under the name uncultured bacterium. Its description in RNAcentral is "partial 16S ribosomal RNA". It matches the Rfam family "Bacterial small subunit ribosomal RNA", at positions 28 to 506 of the family's 1533-position model. The record is from RNAcentral.